Molecule: non-coding RNA, 21 nt
Filed under: Caenorhabditis elegans
Lineage: Eukaryota; Metazoa; Nematoda; Chromadorea; Rhabditida; Rhabditidae
Source: RNAcentral
UUUGAAUAUUCUGACUCUGAU